CCUUCCUUCCUCAUCUUUCCUUCCCCUGUCCCUCCAUGUCACUCUUCAGCUGAAGUGCUGAUCUUAGGGAAAUGGAAUCAAUCUGUCUAUAUGGGUGUGCACCAUGUGUAAGUGUUCUGGACAACGUAAAAGCAGUUGUGUUUGUAGGGGCCAGGGGAACAUUUUGAUGUGAGAAAAACCACACACAGUGAAGGGUUUGAAUAAAUAUUGUAGUUGGAGAAGUCCCAAUUAGAGAGUUAUAGUAGGCUGGGUAUCCACUCUGUUGGCUCCACCCUUCAGUGGCUACGUCCCGCCAUUUGGGGGGGACACCAUGUUUGCUCAAUAAGCCACAAAGGGCGGGGCCCCCCUCCCUCCUACCCUCCUCUGCCACCCUCUCUGGUUACGCCACAUAUGUACCACACUGCCACAGUGCACUAUGAACAUCAGUGGGAUUAGAUGAAUCCACCACAGACUCCCUCCAGUCCCGUCUGAGGGACUAGUGAAGCACCUCUCUGCCGGAGACAUGCAUGGAAACAGACAGAAUGGGGCCUCCGGGGCUUUGAUUACUAAUCCCUCCUGAUCAGAGCUCCACACUCACUCAACACACUAACUUAACCUGCUCCAGAGCUGCAGGCAGGCAGUUAGGCAGACUGGCAGAAAGAGCAGAAAGGCAGGCAGUCAGAGAGAGCAUUGCUGAGAGAACAGGCAGGAAGGCAGGCAGUCAGAGAGAGCAUUGCUGAGAGAACAGGCAGGCAGGCAGUCAGAGCAGGGUGGGAAAGCAGGCAGGCAGUCAGAGCAGGGUGGGCAAGCAGGCAGGCAGUCAGAGAGAGCAUUGCUGAGAGAACAGGCAGGCAGGCAGUCAGAGCAGGGUGGGCAAGCAGGCAGGCAGUCAGAGCAGGGUGGGCAAGCAGGCAAGCAGGGAUUUAUAGAGCGCCAUGCAUUUGUGUGAUCUGGUCUAGUGAGAGACAACACACAGCCGGGAGAGAAUCAGCUCGGCUCAUCGGCUCACGCCAGAUAAAGCACCAAGCAGCCCCCUCUCUCCACCCACCUUCCAUCUCCUAACUCUCUUUAUUCUAGCGUAAGACAAAGCAGUUGUGACUCAGACCCAUUGCAAACAAACUUUAAGUUAGUUAGACUAGAGAGAUCUAAUAACUAGAGACGUCCUCUAUAAAGGGUGCCAGCUGGUCUCAGCAUCACAUAGCGUGAAGGGAGGAGGGGAGACGAAAGGGGAGAUCAAAUGUCAAAAGAAUUCCAAUGAGCACCCGGAAUCUUCGAGUAGGGCUUCUCGGCUCGCUGUUCCCAUUGAGAGAUUUCCAGAUCUCUACGGGAAGCUCUUACAUUACAACAACUCAAGCACUGCAUAAAGUACAGACCCAAAAAAUGGGUCAUUUUAAACUAUUUCAACAGAAGAGUACAAGAACUCAAAUAUAGCAUUGCAACAAAGUGCAGGCCAGACGGUCGUCUGUAAAGACAGAAAGAUUGCUGAUCUUAAACAACUUUCAGCUGCUGUUUAAAUGUCUUCGUUUUUUCCUCUGCUCCUCCAGAGUUGCGUAAUCACAGUUCUUUAAAGGCCUCUCAUCCACCACACAUUCUUUGUGGUAUAAAAUGCUGCCUGCAGGCUGGAAAACCCCCAGACUGAGUGAUUCUGUGGCACUGUAGCACUUAGCUCUGGCCUCAGCUCAGUGCAACAGUCAGGGGUGUCUUAUGCAAUCGCUUAGCCUACGCGAACGGCCACAAAUAGUGUCUGCUAUGCACUCACAGCCGUAUGAUUUCCCCACAUUUACAUAGACAUUUGCAUUGCAUCGAUCUGGAGAGGCUUUAGUUUCAGUUGAUAGAUUAUGAACUUUCAUUCAUCCACACACACCCAUGAAUAGAGCUGUUACUGUACCAGAGGUUGAAUGUAGGUCAUUGUGUAGGAUAACUUUCCUUUUUCAUAAAGCCACUUGGCUACAUCCGUUCCAAUACAAUACAUCUUAAUUCAUUUGAAUGUAAAGUCUUUAUGUUGCGCUGCCACAGUACAGUACCCAACCUGACAGUUGGCUCUCACCCAGCCAAAUUACAUUAGCUUACUGGCUAACUGCAUCCAUGUUGAUGUUCAACUUCACCAACAUUCCUCUCUCUCCUGCCACAACUAAAGGACUAAUACGGUGUUGACUGUGGAGGGAACACUUGGUCUAUAACGGACACACACUGGGCUCUGUCUCUAUCACAGGAUACAGCUGAGGCCUGCCUUAUGUUGUGUUAAGUUUGAAUAAGUCAACGGUCGUGCUGGUCUUAACCUCCUGUGCAGUGCAGUGGCCUGUUUAAGCUGUUCUCUCCCACACUCUCGUUUUGAAAUGUACCAGGCUACUUUGAGUCAACACAAAUGAAAAUGCCCCUCUGUUACAAAACACAAACAUGUUUAAAACUAGAUUAUGGGAUUAAAAUAGAUUUUCUCCCCAAAUCUACUGUUGUUUUGUAUGUCCCUAAAUUGUAUAAUACCUCAAAACAUCAAAUACCUGUUAUAUUUUUCAAAUAUAAAGUGUUUCACCUGCUGUCGAAGACUAAAUAUUGCAUAUUACAGUAUAUCCAGUUGUCUUGUACAGUGUAACAUACAUGAAUGACCAUGGAGUUAAUGAUUGAACAGCACUCUCUGAUGGCCAUAUGUGGAAUUGUCAGAGCAAUGUGAAUUUCUUGAACUACACAGAUGUCGGAUCUUAAUUUAAACUCUCUCGUCGAAGGAGGAAAAUAAUCCUGCAGCAAGAUGAUUUGAAUAUCCAAACAUAUUUUUUAAAAUCUCUGCCAGGGGCCAGCUGGAAGUGGCGUUUGUAGGCUACAUUCAGGCUACAGGGCAUCUUGUGUGAAUUCAUAUUUGCAGGUGGUAGAUGUAUUUUUGGGCACAGGCACUAUGGCGUUAGGGCGGUAUUGUGCUGUUAGUGCUAUACUAUUAGUCUUAGUCCUGUAUUGACGCGUUGCCUGUUUGAUUUGAUUUUAUUAGGAUCUCUUUUAGUCCCCAUUUGGACUAAUCUUCCAAGAGUCCUUAACAUUAAAAUACAAUUUAUAAUACAAACACACUUUCACAUAUAACAUACUAUUACAAACAUACAUAAUACACUAGCAUAAUGUUUGAUGGUUCGUCGGAGGGCAUAGUGGGAUUUCUUAUAAGCUUCCGGGUUAGAGUCCCGCUCCUUCAAAGCAGCAGCUCUAGCUUUUAGCUCAGUAGGGAUGCUGCCUGUAAUGCAUGGCUUCUGGUUGGGGUAUGUACGUACGGUCACGGUGGGGACGACGUCAUUGAUGUACUUAGCCAAUGACAGAUGUGGUGUACUCCUCAAUGCCAUUGGAUGAAUCACGGAACAUAUUCCAGUCUGUGCUAGCAAAACAGUCCUGUAGCUUAGCAUCUGCUUCAUCUGACCACUUUUUUAUUGAUCUAGUCACGGGUGCUUCCUGCUUUACUUUUUGCUUGUAAGCAGGAAUCAGGAGGAUGGAAUUAUGGUCAGAUUUGCCAAAUGGAGGGCAAGGGAGAGCUUUGUAUGCAUCUCUGUGUGAGGAGUAUAGGUGGUCCAGAGUUCUUAUCCCUCUGGUUGCAAAUUUAACAUGCUGAUAGAAAUUUGGUAAAACUGCAUUUACAGUCCCCGGCUACUAGGAGCCCUGCCUCUGGGUGAGCGCUUUCUUGUUUGCUUAUGGUGGAAUACAGCUCAUUCAAUGCUAUCUUAGUGCCAGCCUCUGACUGUGAUGGUAUGUAAACAGCUACAAAGAGUAUAGAUGAAAACUCUCUCGGUAGGUAAUGUGGUCUACAGUUUAUCAUGAGAAACUCUACCUCAGGCGAGCAAUAGCUCGAGACUUCCUUAGAUAUUGUGCACCAGCUGUAUGUUGAUAUUGUCAUCGUUCAGCCACGACUCUGUGAAGCAUAAGAUGUUACAGUUUUUAAUGUCCCGUUGGUAGUUUAAUCUUCCCAAUAACUCAUCCAUUUUAUUGUCCAAAGAUUGCAUGUUUGCUAGCAGAAUUGAGGGGAGUGGGGCUUUAUUCAAUUGCCUCAGACUCCUCAGAAGGCAGCCUGCCCUCCGGUCUCUCUUUCUCCGCCUCCUUUUCACACAGAUCACUGGGGGUCGGGGCCUGUUCCCGAGGGAGCCGUAUAUCCUCCGCCUCGUCAGAGUUGUGAAAGAAGAAAAAGGAUUCUGGCUAGUCCGUGGUAACCCAUAAGGACAGCCUCCCCUCUGAGAUAGUGUUCACGGUGAAGAUGGCUCCAUUUCAUGGUUUCCUGCAUAGAGUUUCUCCCAGGAGCAUGUCAACACUGGCCACAUCCAGCACCUCCAGGUGGAUCCGGACCAGAGUCACGGCACUUUCCUCCUGGACAAACGCCAACGGCAUCACAGAGGUCCAUGACAUCAGGGUCUCUGUGGAUAUCAUCCCGCUCCAUGUCUUUAGAGUGACCCUGCAGGAAGGGUCAUCAGAGGCCCUGACCAAGGAGGUCAU
This is a long non-coding RNA of Oncorhynchus nerka (sockeye salmon), 4431 nucleotides long. RefSeq lists it as uncharacterized. Lineage: Eukaryota; Metazoa; Chordata; Actinopteri; Salmoniformes; Salmonidae. The transcript has 3 exons. The record is from RefSeq and is a predicted model, not a curated record.